GGGGUUGUGGCUCCGUGGUAGAGCGUUCAUCUGGCAUGUAUGAGGCACUGAGUUCGAUCCUCAGCACCACA
Molecule: transfer RNA, 71 nt
Filed under: Marmota monax (woodchuck)
Lineage: Eukaryota; Metazoa; Chordata; Mammalia; Rodentia; Sciuridae
Description: tRNA.Ala
Source: RNAcentral